GAUGAACGCUGGCGGCGUGCCUAAUACAUGCAAGUCGUGCGGCAGCAUGCCCUUCGGGGUGAUGGCGAGCGGCGGACGGCUGAGUAACACGUGGGAAUCCACCCCGAAGUGAGGGAUAACUGCCCGAAAGGGUAGCUAAUACCGCAUAUGGUCUUCGGAUUAAAGCUUUUAGCGCUUCGGGAGGAGCCCGCGUUCGAUUAGUUUGUUGGUGGGGUAAUGGCUCACCAAGACGAUGAUCGAUAGCUGGUCUGAGAGGAUGAUCAGCCAGACUGGAACUGAGACACGGUCCAGACUCCUACGGGAGGCAGCAGUAAGGAAUAUUCCACAAUGGGGGAAACCCUGAUGGAGCAACGCCGCGUGGAGGAUGAAGGCCUUCGGGUUGUAAACCUCUUUUCUAUGCGAAGAAUAUGACGGUAACAUAGGAAUAAGGGUCUGCUAACUACGUGCCAGCAGCCGCGGUAA
This 462-nucleotide ribosomal RNA is filed under the name uncultured bacterium. RNAcentral describes it as "partial 16S ribosomal RNA". It matches the Rfam family "Bacterial small subunit ribosomal RNA", at positions 28 to 523 of the family's 1533-position model. The record is from RNAcentral.